This 373-nucleotide unclassified non-coding RNA is filed under the name soil metagenome. Its description in RNAcentral is "partial contains 5.8S ribosomal RNA, internal transcribed spacer 2, and large subunit ribosomal RNA". The stretch from base 1 to 121 matches the Rfam family "5.8S ribosomal RNA", at positions 35 to 154 of the family's 154-position model. The record is from RNAcentral.
GAUGAAGAACGUAGCGAAAUGCGAUAAGUAAUGCGAAUUGCAGAAUUCCAGUGAGUCAUCGAAUCUUUGAACGCACAUUGCGCCCUUUGGUAUUCCGAAGGGCAUGCCUGUUCGAGCGUCAUUAUCACCCCUCAAGCCCUCGGCUUGGUGUUGGACGGUUUGGUGGAGGCCCCCUCGGGGGCUCCUGCCCCUCCCAAAGACAAUGACGGCGGCCUCGUUGGACCCCCGGUACACUGAGUUCUUCACGGGACACGUAUCGGACACAUGGGUUUACGGGACACGGUCUGCCUCCCCUCAGGGAGAAUCUUUCUAAGGUUGACCUCGGAUCAGGUAGUGAUACCCGCUGAACUUAAGCAUAUCAAUAAGCGGAGGA